Molecule: ribosomal RNA, 2917 nt
Filed under: Vibrio cholerae
Lineage: Bacteria; Pseudomonadati; Pseudomonadota; Gammaproteobacteria; Vibrionales; Vibrionaceae
Description: 23S ribosomal RNA
Rfam family: Bacterial large subunit ribosomal RNA
Source: RNAcentral
GUUGUAUGGUUAAGUGACUAAGCGUACACGGUGGAUGCCUGGGCAGUCAGAGGCGAUGAAGGACGUACUAACUUGCGAUAAGCGCAGAUAAGGCAGUAAGAGCCGUUUGAGUCUGCGAUUUCCGAAUGGGGAAACCCAACUGCAUAAGCAGUUACUGUUAACUGAAUACAUAGGUUAACAGAGCAAACCGGGGGAACUGAAACAUCUAAGUACCCCGAGGAGAAGAAAUCAACCGAGAUUCCGGUAGUAGCGGCGAGCGAACCUGGAUUAGCCCUUAAGCACUCGGUGAAGUAGGUGAACAAGCUGGAAAGCUUGGCGAUACAGGGUGAUAGCCCCGUAACCGACGCUUCAUCGAGCGUGAAAUCGAGUAGGGCGGGACACGUGAUAUCCUGUCUGAAUAUGGGGGGACCAUCCUCCAAGGCUAAAUACUCCUGACUGACCGAUAGUGAACCAGUACCGUGAGGGAAAGGCGAAAAGAACCCCUGUGAGGGGAGUGAAAUAGAACCUGAAACCGUGUACGUACAAGCAGUAGGAGCACCUUCGUGGUGUGACUGCGUACCUUUUGUAUAAUGGGUCAGCGACUUAUAUUCAGUGGCAAGGUUAACCGUAUAGGGGAGCCGUAGCGAAAGCGAGUCUUAACUGGGCGCUCAGUCUCUGGAUAUAGACCCGAAACCGGGUGAUCUAGCCAUGGGCAGGUUGAAGGUUGAGUAACAUCAACUGGAGGACCGAACCGACUAAUGUUGAAAAAUUAGCGGAUGACUUGUGGCUAGGGGUGAAAGGCCAAUCAAACUCGGAGAUAGCUGGUUCUCCCCGAAAGCUAUUUAGGUAGCGCCUCGGACGAAUACUACUGGGGGUAGAGCACUGUUAAGGCUAGGGGGUCAUCCCGACUUACCAACCCUUUGCAAACUCCGAAUACCAGUAAGUACUAUCCGGGAGACACACGGCGGGUGCUAACGUCCGUCGUGGAGAGGGAAACAACCCAGACCGCCAGCUAAGGUCCCAAAGUAUUGCUAAGUGGGAAACGAUGUGGGAAGGCUCAGACAGCUAGGAUGUUGGCUUAGAAGCAGCCAUCAUUUAAAGAAAGCGUAAUAGCUCACUAGUCGAGUCGGCCUGCGCGGAAGAUGUAACGGGGCUAAGCAAUACACCGAAGCUGCGGCAAUGAAGUUUACUUCAUUGGGUAGGGGAGCGUUCUGUAAGCCGUUGAAGGUGAAUCGUAAGGUUUGCUGGAGGUAUCAGAAGUGCGAAUGCUGACAUGAGUAACGACAAAGGGGGUGAAAAACCUCCUCGCCGGAAGACCAAGGGUUCCUGUCCAACGUUAAUCGGGGCAGGGUGAGUCGACCCCUAAGGUGAGGCCGAAAGGCGUAAUCGAUGGGAAACGGGUUAAUAUUCCCGUACUUCUGACUAUUGCGAUGGGGGGACGGAGAAGGCUAGGUGGGCCAGGCGACGGUUGUCCUGGUUCAAGUGCGUAGGCUUGAGAGUUAGGUAAAUCCGGCUCUCUUUAAGGCUGAGACACGACGUCGAGCUGCUACGGCAGUGAAGUCAUUGAUGCCAUGCUUCCAGGAAAAGCCUCUAAGCUUCAGAUAGUCAGGAAUCGUACCCCAAACCGACACAGGUGGUCGGGUAGAGAAUACCAAGGCGCUUGAGAGAACUCGGGUGAAGGAACUAGGCAAAAUGGUACCGUAACUUCGGGAGAAGGUACGCUCUUGAUGGUGAAGUCCCUCGCGGAUGGAGCUGACGAGAGUCGCAGAUACCAGGUGGCUGCAACUGUUUAUUAAAAACACAGCACUGUGCAAAAUCGCAAGAUGACGUAUACGGUGUGACGCCUGCCCGGUGCCGGAAGGUUAAUUGAUGGGGUUAGCGCAAGCGAAGCUCUUGAUCGAAGCCCCGGUAAACGGCGGCCGUAACUAUAACGGUCCUAAGGUAGCGAAAUUCCUUGUCGGGUAAGUUCCGACCUGCACGAAUGGCGUAAUGAUGGCCACGCUGUCUCCACCCGAGACUCAGUGAAAUUGAAAUCGCUGUGAAGAUGCAGUGUACCCGCGGCUAGACGGAAAGACCCCGUGAACCUUUACUACAGCUUGGCACUGAACAUUGAACCUACAUGUGUAGGAUAGGUGGGAGGCUAUGAAGACGUGACGCCAGUUGCGUUGGAGCCGUCCUUGAAAUACCACCCUUGUAUGUUUGAUGUUCUAACUUAGACCCAUUAUCUGGGUUGAGGACAGUGCCUGGUGGGUAGUUUGACUGGGGCGGUCUCCUCCCAAAGAGUAACGGAGGAGCACGAAGGUGGGCUAAUCACGGUUGGACAUCGUGAGGUUAGUGCAAUGGCAUAAGCCCGCUUAACUGCGAGAAUGACGGUUCGAGCAGGUGCGAAAGCAGGUCAUAGUGAUCCGGUGGUUCUGUAUGGAAGGGCCAUCGCUCAACGGAUAAAAGGUACUCCGGGGAUAACAGGCUGAUACCGCCCAAGAGUUCAUAUCGACGGCGGUGUUUGGCACCUCGAUGUCGGCUCAUCACAUCCUGGGGCUGAAGUCGGUCCCAAGGGUAUGGCUGUUCGCCAUUUAAAGUGGUACGCGAGCUGGGUUUAGAACGUCGUGAGACAGUUCGGUCCCUAUCUGCCGUGGGCGUUGGAAGAUUGAAGGGGGCUGCUCCUAGUACGAGAGGACCGGAGUGGACGAACCUCUGGUGUUCGGGUUGUGUCGCCAGACGCAUUGCCCGGUAGCUAAGUUCGGAAUUGAUAAGCGCUGAAAGCAUCUAAGCGCGAAGCGAGCCCUGAGAUGAGUCUUCCCUGAUACUUUAAGUAUCCUAAAGGGUUGUUCGAGACUAGAACGUUGAUAGGCAGGGUGUGUAAGCGUUGUGAGGCGUUGAGCUAACCUGUACUAAUUGCCCGUGAGGCUUAACCAUACAACACCCAAGGGGUUUUGUA